GACGAACGCUGGCGGCGUGCUUAACACAUGCAAGUCGAACGGAAAGGCCCUGCUUUUGUGGGGUGCUCGAGUGGCGAACGGGUGAGUAACACGUGAGUAACCUGCCCUUGACUUUGGGAUAACUUCAGGAAACUGGGGCUAAUACCGGAUAGGAGCUCCUGCUGCAUGGUGGGGGUUGGAAAGUUUCGGCGGUUGGGGAUGGACUCGCGGCUUAUCAGCUUGUUGGUGGGGUAGUGGCUUACCAGGGCUUUGACGGGUAGCCGGCCUGAGAGGAUGACCGGCCACAUUGGGACUGAGAUACGGCCCAGACUCCUACGGGAGGCAGCAGUGGGGAAUAUUGCACAAUGGGCGGAAGCCUGAUGCAGCAACGCCGCGUGCGGGAUGACGGCCUUCGGGUUGUAAACCGCUUUCGCCUGUGACGAAGCGUGAGUGACGGUAAUGGGUAAAGAAGCACCGGCUAACUACGUG
Molecule: ribosomal RNA, 468 nt
Filed under: uncultured bacterium
Lineage: Bacteria
Description: partial 16S ribosomal RNA
Rfam family: Bacterial small subunit ribosomal RNA
Source: RNAcentral